This 296-nucleotide small nuclear RNA is filed under the name Jaculus jaculus (lesser Egyptian jerboa). RNAcentral describes it as "7SK RNA (ENSJJAG00000007146.1)". It matches the Rfam family "7SK RNA". From Rfam's summary of the family: 7SK was discovered as an abundant small nuclear RNA in the mid-70s but a possible function has only recently been suggested. Two independent studies have found that 7SK RNA binds the CDK9/cyclin T complex (known as elongation factor P-TEFb). Lineage: Eukaryota; Metazoa; Chordata; Mammalia; Rodentia; Dipodidae. The record is from RNAcentral.
GGAUGUGAGGGUGAUCUACCUGUGACAUCUAUCAUGCCACUGACUGCUAGGUUUCGAUCAGCUGAUUUGGCUGACAAGGUGGGGGUCCCCUUCUUCCUCCCUUUCCCCACGUGCACUGUUCCCGCAGCUGCGUGCUCGGUGGAGGAGGAGUGAGUAGAACAGGAAGAGAGGAGGACUGGUCCGCUCAAGGGUGAGGGAGUAGUAGCUCCCCUGUUAGAACACCCCAAAAUGCUCUCUCAGGAGAACAGGUAUUUAAAUCCUAAACCAAUAUGUUUGCCAUGAAGUGACAGACACAA